RNAcentral lists this ribosomal RNA (712 nucleotides) under Leuconostoc lactis. RNAcentral's name for it is "bacterial SSU rRNA". It matches the Rfam family "Bacterial small subunit ribosomal RNA", at positions 57 to 751 of the family's 1533-position model. Lineage: Bacteria; Bacillati; Bacillota; Bacilli; Lactobacillales; Lactobacillaceae. The record is from RNAcentral.
GCAAGUCGAACGCGCAGCGAAAGGUGCUUGCACCUUUCAAGCGAGUGGCGAACGGGUGAGUAACACGUGGAUAACCUGCCUCAAGGCUGGGGAUAACAUUUGGAAACAGAUGCUAAUACCGAAUAAAACUUAGUAUCGCAUGAUACAAAGUUGAAAGGCGCUACGGCGUCACCUAGAGAUGGGUCCGCGGUGCAUUAGUUAGUUGGUGGGGUAAAGGCCUACCAAGACAAUGAUGCAUAGCCGAGUUGAGAGACUGAUCGGCCACAUUGGGACUGAGACACGGCCCAAACUCCUACGGGAGGCUGCAGUAGGGAAUCUUCCACAAUGGGCGAAAGCCUGAUGGAGCAACGCCGCGUGUGUGAUGAAGGCUUUAGGGUCGUAAAGCACUGUUGUAUGGGAAGAAAUGCUAGAAUAGGGAAUGAUUCUAGUUCGACGGUACCAUACCAGAAAGGGACGGCUAAAUACGUGCCAGCAGCCGCGGUAAUACGUAUGUCCCGAGCGUUAUCCGGAUUUAUUGGGCGUAAAGCGAGCGCAGACGGUUGAUUAAGUCUGAUGUGAAAGCCCGGAGCUCAACUCCGGAAUGGCAUUGGAAACUGGUUAACUUGAGUGUUGUAGAGGUAAGUGGAACUCCAUGUGUAGCGGUGGAAUGCGUAGAUAUAUGGAAGAACACCAGUGGCGAAGGCGGCUUACUGGACAACAACUGACGUUGAGG